UUUUUUUUAGUUUGAAUAUCAGUUUGGGCUUAGUUACUUUUUAAAAUAAGGCUGUUUCAGAUAGUCUCUGCCACACUUUGCCUAGCCUGGUUAAUUGUGGGUGGACCCAUGCUACAUGUUUUGGCAUUGCCUUUUUCUUAUCUGUACCAUAUUACAAACUUCCUAGUAAUUUGACAUUCACUGCUGUCUUUGCUUUAGCUUUCCAACAGGUUUGGUGAAACAGUCCAUUGCUGUUCAAUAUCAGCUUGCAUCAGAAUUACUUGGAGGGCUUAUUGAUUAAAACACAGAUUGCUGGGCCCUGCAAAAAAAGUUUCUGAUUCAGUAGGUCUGGGGUGGAACAUAAGAAUGUGCUUUUCCCCCCACAGUUCCCAAGUACUGCUGAUGCUGCUCCUCUAGGCCCAUGCUUUCAGAAUCACAGAGCUCAUCUUACAUUCUUUUCCUGCUAGAUAUUAUGCCCAAUUAAUACAUGAAGUAAAACAGAAAAAUCCUUAACUUAAAAACAUGUAUUAAUCCAGAAGUUUGAUUAUAAAAAGGUUUGUUGAAAAUGUGAGACCAUUUUUUCUCCCAGAGAAAAAGUAUAUUAAUUGUCUAGCUGGGAGGGGCCUAUUUGAAUGUGUUUUCAGAGAAAAGCAGAAGAAAAAAAUACGGUUGUAAUAGAAGUAGUUAAAACAGAAAAGCAGUAUGGUUGUAGAGUGGGGUGGCGGGGAGGUAUAUGUGUAUUUAAUCUUGAGAACCAAUGCUUUUGGAAAACAGCCCGAAGGGACAAGAGACUAGGUAGAGACUGGCGAGGUUCCUGAAAGUCCUGGGUUACCUGUGAAAUGCCAAAGAUUUUUAAAGUUUGCUGGCAGUGGUUAUUAUAUGUAGUUUUACUUCCAAAUUUGAAGAUUUCCUCUUCUUUGAUGCAAGUGUGUUGGUAGGACCACUGAUAAUAGUUAGUGGAGAUAUUUGUGGGAAUAUAUUUUUAAUCAGAAAGAAUGCAAAAAGAGGGGGAGACAUUUCUUUGAGACACCUUAAUGACACUGGGAACAGUAGAAGGUGGAAAGAGAUCAGAGUGUGGGAAAGAUGUGCCUGAGAUGAAAUUAUCUGAAUUCUGAAUGUGGGGGAGAAGAUGAGGAGAGGGUUGAGGGGGAGGAGAGAUGACUAAGCUCCUCACAGUGUUUCAUUAACUGUCUUUUACCUAAAGGAGGAAUCUUCUUAAUGAAGAUUGGUUGAUGCAUCAUACUGGUCAUCAACUUUGUUUUUCAGUUCCAUGAAAUCAGCCUGCCUUUUCUUUUUUUGGUGAUACAUCCACAUUCUGUAUAGGUGAAAAGCAAAACAAACAAGUAUAAAACGAAAAUUAUGUAAGAAGUACACACAUCCUAGCAGCUUGGCAAGUGUCUGUAUGCUCUUGCCUGUGCCUAAAUCCAGAAUUAGAAUUCAUGCUUGGUGCUCCUGUGGAAGAUGUCUAAAUGUUAUGAGAAAUACAUGAUUAAAUAAAAAUGUGAAAUGAAAGCAUGGAGACUUGUUGAAGGUGAGUGCUGUUUUUCUAAUUAUAUAUUUUAUUUGUUUAAUGAAUAAUUUGUUAAUUUUCUUUGUCAUUACGAGAGAGCUGUUUUAUUCUGUACUUAGGUGCAUAGCAUACUAUGUUUUAGUGAGCUCCACAUGUUAAUUUGAAACUUGCCAAAUUUUUACAUUAUUUUAUAAUUUAUAGUACUUUGAGAAACAUAUUGCAAUGCAUUACAAAGCAUAUAAUGUAAAGGUAGUUUUAUGAAGUGUUUUUCUCCCAAAUUAAGCAUAUUUGGGAAUUGCCCAUCAAUUUGUUUUUGAACCUCAGUGCAUAAAAUAUAGAAUUUUUCUUUCAUAUGCUAGAUGUGAAAAAUACUCAGCAUAUGCAUGUGGUUUAGGCUACAAAAUAGCCUGUAGGUUAAAUUCCUAAUUCUAGUGUUUAAUUCAUUGCCUUUUUUCUUCUUGUUUAAUGGCCAUAUGUUUAUAUCUUUAUAUUACAUACAUUCCUGAUUAUGUAAUAAGGUCUUUGAUCAUGUGGGCUAUCAGAUUUGCCUCACUUUGUCUCUUAGAAGAAGCUAUACAUGAAACUAUGUUGUACUUAAGUGAAAAUUUGAGUAUUUUUCUUGUUUGAAUUAAUGCAGUGAAACAUUCUACUUACAGUUAGCUGUCUCCCACCCUUACAGGAAGGUACAUGCCUUCAUUUUUUAAAACACUGUAUAUUUAUUAGAAUUGUUACAGAAUUUUAGUAAAUAUAUUCUAAUCACAUAUUUUCUGAUUAAUGUGUGCUUAUCAGUUUUAAAUGUUAUGAAAUCUGGAUAUAUGUUAAAAUGUCUCAGUUUUCCCCUCUUGUUUACCAUAUUGCCAUUUGGUAUUAAUAGAUAACAUAAUGUAAAAUUGGAUGUCUUUGAUAAUUUUGGGAUAUGUUCUGAAAUUAAACUUGAACUUUUUUCUGUGAAUUUUGAAGAUUUGGUAUCUUAUAAUUAUUUGGUGAGCAUUUGGCAUGAAUUAUUUAGCUUCUCCCCUGUUUAUGAUUUAUUUCUCUUGUCAUCGAUUUCCAAUAGGAAAAUGUUAUGGUUCUAAAUGUCUCCUGUAGACUUCAGUAAUUGAAAAAUGUCAGUCAAGAUGGGGGGAAUCUGUAAUAUAUAAUAGAGUUUAUCUUUUAGUUAUGUUCAUUUCCACUUUUUUUAAUGUGUUUUUUUUUUAGUAAAUGUCAAAAGUGUUACUCAGUGCAACAUAUUAUGCAAUAUUAUAAUCAACUAACCUCUUCAUUGAUAAUGACUUCAUAUUGAGAGGUUUUUUAAAUCUAGAAAUAUUCUUGUUUUAAAUUCCAGGUUAAAAUGUAAAGGUAUUUUUAUUUUUUUAAUUUUAAUUCUUCUCAAAGCUACUAGUACAUUAUAAAACAACAAUUUCACAUUUAGAAUUUUUAUAUGUAUAUAAAUUAGGAUUAUUUUUUAAUAUUAGCCUUAACUUUCUUUAACUUUUAUGAAAAACAACUAGUCCCAAGGGUAUUUUUACUAUUUAAUAUACAUUAUUCCUGUGAUUCAAAAUCUUAGCAGUAGAACCUGUUGAGCUACUUAACUUUCUGUCUUGGGACUAUCCAGGUGCAGUUAUAACUGGUUUCAAAGUUGUGACCUUUUCCUUGCUUGUUUCAAAAUCAUUCCUUAAAAAAUGUUCAGUAUUUUUCUUUUGUCAAAAAAUAAAAACAGGAUUUGUGGGUUGUUCUGUUUUUUAAAAUUAGUUUGAGAAACUUCCUUUGCCACUUGUUUUCUGUGCAAAUGUUGUAAGAGCUCAAAUUCCCUGGGGGUAGGGAGGACUUUUAUAAGGUUUUUUUGGUUGAAGGGUAUAAAAGGCACUUAAAAGGUAUACAGUUACUUUUAUUUCGAUAUCCCAGUCAUUUUGACAUUAUGAUAAGCUUUCCCCACUUUAUAGGUUAUCUGAAAAUUUGGUGGGGGGCGGGUAUUUUAUUUAUACUUAAUAUAACAAAAUUAUUUUCCUAUGUGUAGUCAAUAGCACAUACAAAAAAUUAUCUCCUGUUUGUAGUCAGUAGCACAGUCAGUAUUCACCAAAAUACUGAGUUAUUUUUCAAGUAAAGGUAUAAGUAUGAAUGAGAAACAGUUUGUGGGUUGGGUAUUGUCAGUCCUUCUUUUUCAGAUAACUUUCUAAAUGGUCAUUCAAUCUGUAAUCUUAAACUUUUUUAAUGUUAUAAAUUCUUCAAAUCAGUAUUUGUAUUAAAUGCAGUGACCAGACUAUGUCACUGAUACAAUGUCAUGAUUAGAUGUGCAGAAGACUAUGUUACAUGGAUGAUAAAUGAACUUUUAACAUAUAGAAAUUAAUAUCAGAUUAAACUAAAACAUUAAGCAAAGUUAAUACAUGCUUGCAUACAUAUAUAUAUUUAUUUAUUAAUGAUAUGUGGAGAAUCUUUGUGCUUCAUAGUCACUAGACCUAAAGUAGAAGCAGUUGUCAAGAAUGUCCAACUGCUAUUCAUCUUUGUGGCCAAAGUAAAUUUCAGAUUUUUUUUUUGUAAUGGUUUUCUUUAGUCUCUUUAUUAACCCAUCAUCAUGACAAGUCUGUCAAGUGACACAUGUGAAAAGCAGAUGUCCUUUCUUAUUCCUGGUGCUUCCUAAGGAGGCAGUGCAAUGCAGGAGAAGGAACAUUAUUAGAGAUAAAGGAAAAAACCAGAAGUGCUUUCUCCUCUCACAUUCCACUCAACACUUCUCUCACCAAAUGUGUGUGGGGAUUUCUCUCCACCAACAACCAGCAGUUCUUUACUGCAGAUUCUCCAGUGGAUACCAGCCAGGUGUCCUCUAAUUCAGUUCAAUUCUGACAUUAUCUACUGGGAGAUAGUGUCAGAUCCCGCAAGUGGAGGGCUCAGUCCUACAAGACUACCCCUUACUUCAGAUGUCAGUCACAAGCAGUUAGCGGUUUGUGAUUCUGACCAACUGGCUAGAGGUCCCCCUCCUCAAGUGUGAUUAAUUUGCUAGAGCAGCUCACAGAAUUCAGGGAAACACUUUAUUUACAUUUACCCAUUUAUUAUAAAGGAUAUUAUGAAGGAUACACAUGAACUGCCAGAAAGACAAGGAGCAUAGGCAAGAUACUGAGAAGGGUCACGGAGCUUCUGUGCCUUCUCCAGGUGCACCACCCUCUGGGAAUAGUCAGUUCAUGUGUUCAGCUGUCUCGAAGCUCAUUCGAACCCUGUCCUUCUGAGUUUCUGUGGAGGCUUCAUUACGUUAAGGUUCAGAAAUCAAUACCCCAAAAUAUGGGGCUUUGACAUGCUGAAUUAAAGAAGCAGCCUCAAGGCCUCUUGGCCUUCUCCAGCUCUCCUCACCCAAAUCCUGUCUCUCCCAAAGCACAAGAUGAGGCUGUUCACCAAAGUUCCCUUAUUUACCUAGAAACUGGACCUUAAAGAGGAACACAGUUGCCUGCGAUUCCAUCCCUGUAAUUUUAUUAACCAGAGAUUAAAACUUAUAUCACAGAGGAAGAGACUAAAAAUUAAACACCACACCUGGAGCCCAGAUGACCUGUCCCAAUCUAUUAUCUGUUCUCCAGUCCCAUUUAGUUCCCAAAGGGAAUCAUUUACAAACCAUUGUCUGAUCUUCCGGCCCAUUUAUUUACAGCUCCCCCUCUUUCCCCAAUGAAAAUGAUACUUAAGUGUCAGCCAUCUAUCGGCUCUUUGAGUUUUCACAUUUUGUAUGACUCCUGUGCACACACAUGCAUGUAAUAACUGUUAUACUUGUUAACUUUUUUUCAUUAUAGGGGUAUCCACCAUGAUUAUAUAUGAUGGGGAGGAAAGGGAUUACUCCAUUUCUGCCCCUGCAGUCUGUAGGCAUGAUUGAUUACAUCAUUGGUCGCCGGUGAUUAACUCAGUCUCCAAGCCCUGUCGUGUCCCUGGAGGUUGGAGGGUGGCACUGAAAGCUCCAACCAUCUCAUCAUGCUUUGAUCUUUCCGAUGACCAGACCCCACCCUGAAGCUAUCUACGGGUCCCCAGCAACAUUCAUUUCGUUAUCAUACAAAUGACAUUCUUACAAUUUCAGAGAUUCCAAGGGCUUUAGGAAAUGGAGAUGAAGAGCAAAUAUAUAUUUCACAAUAUCACAAACAUACCCUUGGGAAUUAGACCUCUGAUCUAAUCUAGGCUCCCUCACUUGCCAUUUUUGUGACCUUGAACAAGUUGUUCAUCUUUUCUGGAUAGUUCUCUGUUAAAAAAAUUAAAAUAAAAAAAUGGUGGCUAUCAGGUUGUUAGGAGGACUAGAUAAGAGAACUAUGUGAAGGACCCUGCACAGUGCUAGCAACAAAGUUGUUUAGUAAGUGCUAUUUCAAUUUAUUUUGCUUCCAAGCUCAUGUGAGCUCCCUCAGUGUGUACCACCAAAUCACAUGAUGUGUAUCCCAGUCAAAUCUUAAAGGUCAUCCACCUUGAAUCUUUAAGUUAAUUAACGUGUGUUUUUAAAACUGCAUUAUAAGAACGUUAGGGUUUUUGUUUUGAUCCUAUGGAAGUUAAAUUUUUUACACAAGCAUUCAACUGUUUAGCUUCAAACUGAACAGAUAAAUAGUCUGUAUUAUUUCAUUAUGUAUUAAAAAAUGAUUAAGCCUGCCUCAGGCAGUUCAGGCAAAGCAGGUAAAAGAUUAUCAAGGAGUAACAUUAGAAAACACUAAUCAGAGUGCCUAAAAAGCUUUAUGCGGUCCAGGUUGUACAGGGAUGUUGGAACAGUAAAACAAACAAAACAUUACAAGGUAUGAAGCGUUCGAGAUAGGUAGAAUAGAGCAGGUUAUAUUAGAGAAGUCUCUUCUAAAAUUGUGUUGGCUAGCCUGGGAUUUGAACUUAUACCGUGUAUGUAUGUCCAUGUGUAACAGGUUGAACAUGCAAGAAGCAGUGUUCAUAAAAGGUGGCAAACUUGUUUUACUUGUUUCUCAGUCUUUUCAGAUCAGUACUUAUAAAACACUGAUAUUUACAGUAAAUAUCUUAUAUUAAAUAUUAGCUAACCCUAUUAAAUUGUGUGUCCUUGUGCUGCAGUCAUUUAAUGACCUCAUUCUUUGGUAAGUUGGCAUGUGAUUUGAGAUAGCUCUAAGUGCUAAUGGAUUGUUUGAAGGAGUUAAAGGCAAAACCAGGAAGAGAAAACUAUUUUUAGGAAAAAGCGAUCAUACAACAGGCCUUAAAUAGAAGAAAUGAGAUAUCUCUAUCUUUACUAUGUAACCUUUAAUUCCUUACACAUUUUGACUUCAUAUUUUUUGUAUGUAAAUGAGAAUGUUAUAGUCUUGUAAAUUCCUUUUCCUCUGUGACUACAUUCAGUUAUUUAUUUUAUUGUGUGUUUGUGCAUGUCGGUAGAGCACAGUAUUUAGUAGAAUGAGUUAUUGGUUAAACCACCUGGAUUCAUUUGUAAAAUGGGGCCACCUGUCUCUUAAAUUGUAAUGAGGAUUUGAUUAGAUAAUCUAGAUAAAUCACUUAGCACAAGAGUCUCCAGCCCCCGGACUCUUGACUGGUACUGGUCUGUGGCCUGUUAGGCACUGGGCUGCACAGCAGGAGGUGAGCAGGGAGCAAGCUAGCACUAGGGCCCAAGCUCCGCCUCCUGUCGGAUCAGUGGCAGCAUUAGAUACUCAUAGGAGCACAGACCCUGUUGUGAACUGUGCGUGUGAGGGAUCUAGGUUUCGUGCUCCUUACAAGAAUCUAAUUAAUGCCCGAUGAGUUGAGGUGGAACAGUUUCUUCCCAAAACCGUCUCAGGAAACCUGUCCCUGGUGCCAAAAUUUGGGGGACCUCUGACGUAGCACACUAUCUGGCACAUACCAAGCACUCAGAAAAUAUCCCAUUUCUCAAAACUCAGUUCCAGUGUCAAGUCUUAAUAGUAUAUUGAUCUUGGAACUCCAAGGUAGUUGGUCCUCUCUUUGUGCCAUAAAUGUGCCUUGUACUCAGUAGUGCUAAAUUGCUAUCAACUAGUGCUAAAUGUACUACUAAUUCAUCUGUGUGUCCACUUCCCUUCUUAGAUUGUGAGCCCCUUGAGGACAGAGAUGGGUUUACUCAUAUUUAUAAAUUCAUUGGCAUGAUAAAUAUUUGCUGAAAGAAUAAAAUUGUAUUCUUAUGUUUUAAGCAGGGUCCCCUCCACCUCUGAGUGGAAGAUGGUCUGGGAGCAAAGGUGACAGGUCUUCUAAAAAAUCUGGCCACAUUCUCAACCCACCACACCCCCGCUUUUUUAAACAGCUAUUUAAUUGCCAUUGUAAUCCUAAGGAUUGGAUCAAUUUUUCACUUCCCUUUUUCACACUUUUUUCCUUUUACUAAGAAAAUAAAGUAAUAAAGUGACUGCCAAAUGGAGAAAACUGUCCACUAAAUAUGAAUUAAUAAGUGCUAUUAUCAGAAAUUGUGUAAAAGCAACAUAAUGGCACUAUAAAAAGGUAUUAUCUUAGAAUCAAAAACCUUGGGUUUAUAUUAUAGCCCUGCUACUUUCUAGUCAUAUGACAGUGAUCAAGCUAUAUUACCUCUUUGGCUUGACAAAAUAGGGGUCAUCUCUAUUUCUGGCUUGUUAUGAUUGAUGUGAAAUAUUCAUACAAACUACCACUGUGCCUGGUAAGUAGAAGACACUCAAAUAUGUCUUGGAGUUACAGUUAAUACUGUAUCGUUUAAAUUUGAGAAAAACCAACUUUAAAAAAUCACAUAGAUACAGUUGUUUACUGCUAGAAAUUUUAUUUAAAUUAGUUGAUACUCUUGGUUAGGUAAUGAAAAACAAUGGUUUUAUCUCCAUUAUGCUGUGAUAGGGAAGAGUAACACAGUUCAAAUGGCAAAGGCAUACCUGACAAUUAAAAUGCAUAGUUAAAGGCUAAUACUUCCUGAACACAAGAAGACAAGUCUCUACUUGAUACUACUCUCCACAGUUAAAUCAUUGAUACUUUGUGCCAUACAGUGAAAACAGAACCAUCUAGGUGUUCACGGAUUGUAUUUUUCCUUAUGAAAGGUAGAAGGUUAGAGAAAAUUAUUCCCAAUACAAUUAAUACAAAUAAAAUUGGUUAUUAGGUGCCUUUUAAUUAGGCAGUAAGGGCAUAUGAAGCUUCAUUACCUAUGAGAAUUUUGUCAAAAUUAUUUCCCAGUUACCAUGUUUUAAAACAGCCUCUCAGAAUUCCCCACUUCUAAUUUCUCCUUUCUAUUCUACCAAUUUUACUCCAUACCUUUUUGCUAAAUAAACAUUUUCUUCCAACUCUGA
Molecule: long non-coding RNA, 8664 nt
Filed under: Homo sapiens (human)
Lineage: Eukaryota; Metazoa; Chordata; Mammalia; Primates; Hominidae
Description: HSALNT0350369
Source: RNAcentral